This 320-nucleotide ribosomal RNA is filed under the name uncultured bacterium. RNAcentral's name for it is "bacterial SSU rRNA". It matches the Rfam family "Bacterial small subunit ribosomal RNA", at positions 28 to 348 of the family's 1533-position model. The record is from RNAcentral.
GACGAACGCUGGCGGCGUGCUUAACACAUGCAAGUCGAGCGGUAAGGCCCGUUUCGGGGGUACACGAGCGGCGAACGGGUGAGUAACACGUGGGUGACCUGCCCUUAGCUCUGGGAUAAGCCUGGGAAACUGGGUCUAAUACCGGAUAUGACUCCAUGACGCAUGUUGUGGGGUGGAAAGCCUUGUGCGGCUAGGGAUGGGGCCCGCGGCCUAUCAGCUUGUUGGUGGGGUGAUGGCCUACCAAGGCGACGACGGGUAGCCGGCCUGAGAGGGCGACCGGCCGCACUGGGACUGAGACACGGCCCAGACUCCUACGGAGG